GACGAACGCUGGCGGCGUGCUUAACACAUGCAAGUCGAACGGAAAGGCCCUGCUUUUGUGGGGUGCUCGAGUGGCGAACGGGUGAGUAACACGUGAGUAACCUGCCCUUGACUUUGGGAUAACUUCAGGAAACUGGGGCUAAUACCGGAUAGGAGCUCCUGCUGCAUGGUGGGGGUUGGAAAGUUUCGGCGGUUGGGGAUGGACUCGCGGCUUAUCAGCUUGUUGGUGGGGUAGUGGCUUACCAAGGCUUUGACGGGUAGCCGGCCUGAGAGGGUGACCGGCCACAUAGGGACUGAGAUACGGCCCAGACUCCUACGGGAGGCAGCAGUGGGGAAUAUUGCACAAUGGGCGGAAGCCUGAUGCGGCAACGCCGCGUGCGGGAUGACGGCCUUCGGGUUGUAAACCGCUUUCGCCUGUGACGAAGCGUGAGUGACGGUAAUGGGUAAAGAAGCACCGGCUAACUACGUG
RNAcentral lists this ribosomal RNA (468 nucleotides) under uncultured bacterium. RNAcentral describes it as "partial 16S ribosomal RNA". It matches the Rfam family "Bacterial small subunit ribosomal RNA", at positions 28 to 507 of the family's 1533-position model. The record is from RNAcentral.